GAUGAACGCUGGCGGCGUGCCUAAUACAUGCAAGUCGAGCGAACGGACGAGAAGCUUGCUUCUCUGAUGUUAGCGGCGGACGGGUGAGUAACACGUGGAUAACCUACCUAUAAGACUGGGAUAACUUCGGGAAACCGGAGCUAAUACCGGAUGAUAUUUUGAACCGCAUGGUUCAAAAGUGAAAGACGGUCUUGCUGUCACUUAUAGAUGGAUCCGCGCUGCAUUAGCUAGUUGGUAAGGUAACGGCUUACCAAGGCAACGAUGCAUAGCCGACCUGAGAGGGUGAUCGGCCACACGGGAACUGAGACACGGUCCAGACUCCUACGGGAGGAAGCAGUAGGGAAUCUUACGCAAGGGGCGAAAGCCUGACGGAGCAACGCCGCGGGAGUGAUGAAGGUCUUCGGAUCGUAAAACUCUGUUAUUAGGGAAGAACAUAUGUGUAAGUAACUGUGCACAUCUUGACGGUACCUAAUCAGAAAGCCACGGCUAACUACGUG
This 497-nucleotide ribosomal RNA is filed under the name uncultured bacterium. RNAcentral describes it as "partial 16S ribosomal RNA". It matches the Rfam family "Bacterial small subunit ribosomal RNA", at positions 28 to 507 of the family's 1533-position model. The record is from RNAcentral.